CCGGUGCGCAGGCAACGGAUGCUUCGCUCUCUCAAAGCGGUAACGCGGGUUCGAAUCCCGCCGCCGGC
RNAcentral lists this transfer RNA (68 nucleotides) under Planotetraspora kaengkrachanensis. RNAcentral's name for it is "tRNA-Glu". The record is from RNAcentral. Lineage: Bacteria; Bacillati; Actinomycetota; Actinomycetes; Streptosporangiales; Streptosporangiaceae.